Molecule: long non-coding RNA, 1676 nt
Organism: Homo sapiens (human)
Lineage: Eukaryota; Metazoa; Chordata; Mammalia; Primates; Hominidae
Product: long intergenic non-protein coding RNA 1933
Source: Ensembl
AGACAUGUGGAAGCCCUUGCCACUGGCACUCUCUUGUACUCUGAAACAACCCAUUUCUCUCAGCUCAGACACCAGGCUGCUGGAGAAUUGGAGAACCAAAAUAGACUGAACGUCUAGUCACCCUCCUAGAAUUCCCCAUCUGCUCUGACAAAGUUCUGGGGACACCCAAGGUGAAACCCACCCAGCAGAACAUUGAGAACAUGACCGAGAUUUAGCUGGACUUUGGUUCCUAACCACAGUGGCUCAUUCACAGAAAAAGGCCCUAAGACAAUGUCUCUAGUCAGCUUUGUCUUCAACACAUUCCUAAGGUUUAAGAUUGGGAUGUGUUAGAGACGAAGGUUUGGUUCGUAUCUGACUUCCGGUGCUGCAGACCAUUGAUUGCUGCUGAAAUGUAGCAGCCAAACCUUUUAGAGCCACGCUAGCCAUCUGAUGUAAAGCAAAAAGCUGGAGACCUUUGACAAUUCUGCUUGGAAACAAUUUUUAUAUAUUAAUGAUCAUAGCAGCAGCUAAUAUUAGUUUGGCUUUUAGGGAAUCAGUAGAUGGUACCUACAUCUUUCUCUAAGUCCAAAGCCAAUGAAGAGACAGAUAUAAGAAUCAGAACAAUCGAUAUCAAAAUAUCAGGUCCAUUAUUGAUGAAUAUGAGGUUGGAGGAUUUGGCUUAGGGAUGAGGCAACAAGGCAUAUGUUAAUACUGUGCCUAAGAGGUUUUCAGCCCUUCUUUGUUGCACCUAAUGCAUGACCGAGAGCAGAUCUCGGUCACUCUGAUAAAUCUCUCCUCUCCCAUGGGGAAUGUGAGUGAGAAUGGGAAGAGAAGCCAGGAAUGUUGGUGUAGCUGAAGUUCCUGCACGUCAAAAUGGGAUGAGUGAGGAGUAGGUAUUUUCCACAGUCUUAUUGACUGAGUUCUUACUAGUUGCCAGAUACUGUGCAGACAGCAUCCAUGUAGACUAUCCAGUUUAAUUCUCUUUUCCACCUCAUAAGGAAAGUGCUAGUAUUAUCUUCAUCUUACUGAUAAGGAAACAGAGGCCCAGAAAGACCCACAACUUUACUAAGGUGACACAGCUAGUACGCGUCAAGAUGGGAUCCAGACCAAAGUCGGUCCGAGGCCACAACAGAUCUUGGAAGCAACAGGCUGCAGAGCCUCCCCUGCCUUACUGCACAGCGUUGCUGGGUGCUAUGAGGAGAUAAAGGAACAUGACGUUCUGGAUCAGAAGGCUUGGGCUAUAGCCCAGGCUCUGCCAUUUUUUAGCCUCCACAACUACAGUGCCCUUGCCUGCAAAAUAGGGAUGAUAAUGCCUUUCUUGAGAAGCUCAGGGAGUUUCUAUGAGGAUCAGAUUAUCUGAGUAGGCUGAACCAUCGGUGAAAAGGAGGCCAAGCAUCUCAAAAAUAGGACACGUGAGAGUAUGGAGCCAAUGUGACACUCAGAUUUGACACAUACAGAAGCGUGAAAAACUCUUGUGUGACUGGGAUAGCUCCUCUGCAAUGAGAACAUGCCUGGGAUAAUGUACUGAAAAGAUGUGAGAAAUACAUGAAGCAGAGUCCAGUCAUCCCAGCCAAGAACCAGCUGUGAAUGUAACCGCAUGACUUUGAGGCAAGUCCAGACCAAGAACAAAGAACCACUGGUCUUAAAGACAGACCUGCAGAUUCCUGAGCUAAAUAAAAGUUUAUUGUUGAAAGGCA